RNAcentral lists this ribosomal RNA (420 nucleotides) under Triticum aestivum (bread wheat). Its description in RNAcentral is "partial small subunit ribosomal RNA". The record is from RNAcentral. Lineage: Eukaryota; Viridiplantae; Streptophyta; Magnoliopsida; Poales; Poaceae.
AUGGCUCUGUUCGCCCACCUUUGUGAGGGCUUCGCCGGAGUUCUUCCCAACACGGCGCUCUUCCGCCAUUAUUUUUACCCUCGCAUCCAGAAGGGAGGCACCAUUUCUGGCUGCAUCACCUGGAUCCCAAGGUCCCAAGGGACAUACCCGGAGGGCGCCCAGAAGGAGAGGUGGGAAGAAUGGCAGGGCUGGUGGUGCUGGAUUGAGGAGGACGAUCCACAAGAGUCCUACCGGGUCCGCCAAGCACCACCGGUCCGCAGGAACGACUGGGGCGACGUCGACGCCCGAGAUGACAAGCUCGAGAUCGCCACCACCAGGAUCCACCGCCUCACCAUUGCCGGGCUUACCCUAAAGAUGAUUGGGGCAGAUUUCCUCAGCUGCCGAAUCGCUCCUCUACACAACAAGGGGAGGCCGUCCUAG